GCCUUGGUGGUCUAGUGGUAUGAUUGUCGCUUCGGGUGAAAAAUCCCCAUCACGAUACACGUGGAUGUGACAGGUCCCGGGUUCAAAUCCCGGCUAAGGCC
This is a non-coding RNA of Cephalotrichum gorgonifer, 101 nucleotides long. The record is from the annotation of a GenBank genome assembly. NCBI's taxonomy places the organism in Eukaryota, Fungi, Ascomycota, Sordariomycetes, Microascales, Microascaceae.